RNAcentral lists this ribosomal RNA (388 nucleotides) under Atractus roulei (Roule's ground snake). Its description in RNAcentral is "partial large subunit ribosomal RNA". It matches the Rfam family "Bacterial large subunit ribosomal RNA", at positions 1944 to 2550 of the family's 2925-position model. The record is from RNAcentral. Lineage: Eukaryota; Metazoa; Chordata; Lepidosauria; Squamata; Dipsadidae.
AACCGUGCAAAGGUAGCGUAAUCAUUUGUCUAUUAAUUGUAGACCAGUAUGAAAGGCAUAAUGAGGGUCCGUCUGUCUCUUAUAAUAAAUCAAUUAAACUGAUCUCCUAGUAAAAAAGCUAGAAUAUACACACAAGACCAGAAGACCCUGUGAAGCUUAAACUAAACUAUUAAACCCAAUAAUACUUACUUUCGGUUGGGGCGACCUUGGAAAAAAAAAGAACUUCCAAAUAUAUGACCAUAACUCAAACACCGGCCCACAAGCCUAUAUAGACCCAGUACAGCUGAUAAUUGAACCAAGUUACUCCAGGGAUAACAGCGCCAUCUUCUUCAAGAGUCCAUAUCAAAAAGAAGGUUUACGACCUCGAUGUUGGAUCAGGACAUCCUAA